This 497-nucleotide ribosomal RNA is filed under the name uncultured bacterium. RNAcentral's name for it is "partial 16S ribosomal RNA". It matches the Rfam family "Bacterial small subunit ribosomal RNA", at positions 28 to 507 of the family's 1533-position model. The record is from RNAcentral.
GAUGAACGCUGGCGGCGUGCCUAAUACAUGCAAGUCGAGCGAACGGACGAGAAGCUUGCUUCUCUGAUGUUAGCGGCGGACGGGUGAGUAACACGUGGAUGACCUACCUAUAAGACUGGGAUAACUUCGGGAAACCGGAGCUAAUACCGGAUAAUAUUUUGAACCGCAUGGUUCAAAAGUGAAAGACGGUCUUGCUGUCACUUAUAGAUGGAUCCGCGCUGCAUUAGCUAGUUGGUAAGGUAACGGCUUACCAAGGCAACGAUGCAUAGCCGACCUGAGAGGGUGAUCGGCCACACUGGAACUGAGACACGGUCCAGACUCCUACGGGAGGCAGCAGUAGGGAAUCUUCCGCAAUGGGCGAAAGCCUGACGGAGCAACGCCGCGUGAGUGAUGAAGGUCUUCGGAUCGUAAAACUCUGUUAUUAGGGAAGAACAUAUGUGUAAGUAACUGUGCACAUCUUGACGGUACCUAAUCAGAAAGCCACGGCUAACUACGUG